Non-coding RNA from Pelobates cultripes (western spadefoot toad), 97 nucleotides. The record is from the annotation of a GenBank genome assembly. NCBI's taxonomy places the organism in Eukaryota, Metazoa, Chordata, Amphibia, Anura, Pelobatidae.
UGCCAGUGUGUGUGUGUGUGUGUGUGUGUGUGUAUCUGUGUGUCAGAUACAUACACACACAGAUACACACUGACACACACAUACACACACUGGCAUA